AGAAAAUGAAAAUGCCAAUAGUUGUAGUCUAAGACAGAAACCUCACCAGAAAAACCUCGUCGAAGUUUGAACAGAGAUCUCACUUAAAUUUGACUGUAUUUGGAUGUUUUGCAAUGUUUAGCGGGUGGUCGUCGGUCAUUUUUGCACCGAGUUUUAGGUGUUACAAGCCCGUUCAUUUCCCCUCUAUUUUUGUUUCAUCCCCGUCCCUGCUUUCCUUUUGUGUGCGUCGAUCGAGCUCGUCGAAGAUGGCAGACAUGGAGGAAG
Molecule: long non-coding RNA, 264 nt
Filed under: Nicotiana benthamiana
Lineage: Eukaryota; Viridiplantae; Streptophyta; Magnoliopsida; Solanales; Solanaceae
Description: long non-coding RNA (NBEN_LNC031626)
Source: RNAcentral